RNAcentral lists this ribosomal RNA (497 nucleotides) under uncultured bacterium. RNAcentral describes it as "partial 16S ribosomal RNA". It matches the Rfam family "Bacterial small subunit ribosomal RNA", at positions 28 to 507 of the family's 1533-position model. The record is from RNAcentral.
GAUGAACGCUGGCGGCGUGCCUAAUACAUGCAAGUCGAGCGAACAGAUAAGGAGCUUGCUCCUUUGACGUUAGCGGCGGACGGGUGAGUAACACGUGGAUAACCUACCUAUAAGACUGGGAUAACUUCGGGAAACCGGAGCUAAUACCGGAUAACAUAUUGAACCGCAUGGUUCAAUAGUGAAAGGCGGCUUUGCUGUCACUUAUAGAUGGAUCCGCGCCGUAUUAGCUAGUUGGUAAGGUAACGGCUUACCAAGGCGACGAUACGUAGCCGACCUGAGAGGGUGAUCGGCCACACUGGAACUGAGACACGGUCCAGACUCCUACGGGAGGCAGCAGUAGGGAAUCUUCCGCAAUGGGCGAAAGCCUGACGGAGCAACGCCGCGUGAGUGAUGAAGGUCUUCGGAUCGUAAAACUCUGUUAUCAGGGAAGAACAAAUGUGUAAGUAACUGUGCACAUCUUGACGGUACCUGAUCAGAAAGCCACGGCUAACUACGUG